This is a long non-coding RNA of Bombus pyrosoma, 5146 nucleotides long. RefSeq lists it as uncharacterized. The record is from RefSeq and is a predicted model, not a curated record. The transcript is spliced from 3 exons. Lineage: Eukaryota; Metazoa; Arthropoda; Insecta; Hymenoptera; Apidae.
GAAAGAAAGAACGGAGAAGAAAAUGAAGAAAAAGGGGGCGAAGGAGAAGGAGAAGAAAAAGAAAAAGAUAGACUCAUCAUCGAGACAGCGGCUUCUGUCGUCCUGCGUGCGAAUAAAAGGGAAGGGGUUCCGUUAUGAAGAAUCGUCAAUUACCAGGCAGCUUCCUGCAGCCGCCUUUCCGUCUUGUUGCAACGGUUUUUGCGCCGCUCUCCGCUCGUUCCUCUAGGCAUCGGUAAAUUAAUGAAUCAGCGACAGAACCAACCUUGCUACGAGUGCUUCUCCGCCUUCUUCCUACGCUCGAUUUCUUACCGAGACUCGCCCAUGGUCGCGAUUAUCUGCUCCGAUGCAAAUUGAGCUUCCCCGUUUGUCUAUUCCCGCCAGUAUGCAGCUCGCGUACGCUGUUUCUGUGGAAAUAAUUUUCCCACCUCUGAACGGUAGUUUGCCCUUUUCCAAAAACGAGAUUAAGGAUUGGGAAGAGAAGGGAUGACGACAGUAAAAGAUACUACGGAGUAUCGUAGUUGUCGUUAUUAUCGUAUUUAUUAUUGUCCCCUAGCUUCUAGCUAGUUUAUCACGAGAAAGCAGAUACGAGAGCAACGACUGUGUUCUCUGGAUCACCGAUAAGAGAUGUCCUCGUUCCCCAACUUCUCCUUCGUCUCGGUCUUUUUCCAUUACGUUCCACGCUUCGAAUUACAUAUUAGAAUUAUGCAAAUCUUGUUUUCGAAGGGACCUUAUCGAGCCAAAUACUCGCGAUAAUUAACAGAGACUCCCGAAUUCGAGAUUCUAUCUGCCCACACAGCGUGUAACGCUCUACAUUUCCAAAAGGAACUCCAUUAAGCUGCGCCGACUAACAAAAGCCCAAUCCUAUUCUUACACGGAAAACAAUCUUCCAACUCGAUGAUCCAACGAUCCUCGCUCCUGCUUGAGAAUACCAAACGAACAGAAGAAGAGAGAACACGAGGAAAUUCGUGACGUUAUCAGCUCUCAUAAUGCAAACCUACCGCCGUAUACAUCGGCGGAAGAAACACGCCUCGAAGGGAUCACAUCGUCUCCCAUCGUCUCGCUAAUGUUACAGCCAUCCACCGUUCUUUGCUUUCCGACGACGCAAUCAGUGCCUCUUUCCACUUUCUUUCCCCCCCUUUCUUUUUCUUCCUCUUAUUUCUUCUACUCUUUUCUCCCUUCUCUUUUUUUCCUCCUCUCUUCCAUUUAUUUCCACGAGCGAUCGGCGCGUUUACAUUGAUAAAGCGACCAGCCAGGGACGUUUACCCUGGAGGGGUCAGUGUCACGUCGUGGGCCUGCAGAGUUCGUUGACUGAAUAAGCCGAGGCAACCUCGAGGACCGGUUGGUCCACCCUUUCGUCCCACCCUGCCCACUGACAGUGCCGGAGCUUUAUCCCUUGUAGCCCUAAGUGCAUGGGAUCACGUCGACUACUUAAUCCUCGAUCGACUGUUCUUCCUUUUUGUCAGCUCCGUUUCAGAGUUCCACCUUCCUUCUUUCCUUCCUUCCUGCAACCUGGGCCUCGCGUCCGUUCAUCGCCUCGUUUCUUCUUCUUCUUCGAUUUGCGUCGAUAGCCGUAGCCGAACUCCAUACGUACGUUUAUACAUUCUCGCAGAUUAACUGUCUCCCAUAAAUGAAUAGACGAUCGCGGUAUGUUUAAUAUUAUGUAACGACCUUGCAUAAUGCCAUAAGCGGUGAUAUUUUGUACGAUUAAUUAAGGAGCCGGUGUGCGUCAUUCUCGGUAAGAAGGAAAUCGCAAAUAUCUGACAAAGUUUGGAGCAAAGAGUAACUUUGCAAUGUGAAUGAAGGAAUUGUGAAAUGGCACCUAGGUAAUAGUCGCGCCUACGAGGAAGCUUGAUGACGUUUUCGCUGCACCCCGCCACGCAGUAGAAACAUAAUUUACAGUCAGCCCGAGUGUAAAUAAGAGAGUGGAUAUGCGUGCAAAGAGGUUGUCGACGCCAUGGUCGUCGACCAAAGAUUUCCAACUCGUGCGAACGCAGAGGUAACGUUCGAGAGGUAACCUCGUGGCAGAACUCCAACUUCCUAGCAGUUUCGGUUAAGUAAAUAAACUGCCAUUUAUUUUUCUCCCCUUGAUUUCCGCUAUCCGACCAUUUCGAUUCCAGUAGAUACGUCCGUCCAUCUAUUUAACACGCUGUAUUAAUUACAUAAAAUUAGUUAUUUCGUUGGAUAAAAAUUUGGCGCAGAUAAGAAUGGUAAUUUCUUGCGAGAAGAAUUCAAAGUUUUCAUCGUGGCAUCAAAGACCUAUAACCUAGCAAGAAGUAACCGGCUACCUGGCAGUUUCCAAGCUGCGGCAUAGAAUUUUAUCGUACCUGUUAAAAUUCACAAUUCUUGGUGAAAAGUCGUAAAUUCCUAUGGGACCCGUAAUCUCUGGCAUUAUUACGCGCGAUUUACAUUCGUAGUGUUGCUUGCCCGCCUUCCACUGUUUCGAAACGCGGAAAACAUUGAUGCUUCGAGUUAUACACUCGUUAUCAUCCAGCAUACCUGUCAUUGUAGCGAUAUGCUCGUGGUUAUAAAUAGCUGAGAAGAUAGCGCAACGACGCGCGUGGACCUCAGCUGUUUUUCAUCGUCCCGCCAUUUUGAUUGAUUUACGAGAGCCUCUUCUUCAGCAAAAUGGCGACCAUGUAUAACGGAUGAAAAUCAACUUUGACAGGAAGAAAAAACGAUGGAAGUUUGUUUAUCGUCAAACAAGUAAACGCAUCAUAAACAUUUGAUAUAUUUUUCGAAACGUACACCGUACGAAGAAGAUACCAUAACGUUCGCGUUCUUCUGCAUUAUGUAGUCACCGACGAUUGCUCGUACACGUAGUGACCUGGAUAGAGCAGAUCGACGAAAGUGACAAACUAAAACUACGAAAUAUGAUUAAAAAUCGAUUAAGGAGAUGUUUCGCGAGUGUGGGAAGAUACACAUGUGACGAUAAUGGAAGAAGGGCUCAGAGAUUAAAGGGAUUAAGAAAACACUGGAUAACUGAAUCUUUCGGAAAAUCAAAUACAUGAACGAUCAUCGGAAUGUAAUUUAAGAAACGGUGAAGAUAACUUUCUCUGGAAAGAAACACCCUGAGGUAUGUAUAAAAAGAAGGGAGAAAGAAAUGCUGGUAGGAUAAACGUCGGUUGGUGGAUCGGUCAUAGCGUAUGGCAUCCAGCGAUUUGCCGCAUUUCUUCUAUAAAUAGACGCGUUGCGACGCGGAGCCGCGAUAUUGUGCGGUUGAUAUCAACAUCCUGCAGCAAUCGGAGCUUAAAUUUCCAUCAAUACCGUAGAAUUUUGUGAAACGAAAUUUUACGAAAUCGGAUGAUGGUAGCUAAUGGUCGGAAAUUAGUACUUAAUAUAUAUAUAUAUCAUAUGUAUAUUAAGUAAGAUGUGGACGAACGAUUACGCAACGAGAGAUCGUGAACCGAAGAACCGAGCGAUCCUUGACUGAUGUUAGUCAAACAUUAGAUAAGAGAAUCGUUGACAACAUAGCGCAUUAAACAUCGCUACUAUCAUUGCUUUAACCAUAGAUAACAGGCUCUUGAACCGACAAACCGAACUUGACACCCAAAUCGAGUUCCGAAGCUCAGGCCUCGUAUGUUCGAGAAACUGCUUAAACGCAUCUUUCUAUUUUCAGUUACUUAACAUUUACCGUUCUAAUUCACAUCGUCGGAUGCUAAAAAUUCUCAGAAUACUUACAAUUAAAUUAUAUCUUAUAAUGGAAUAUUCAAGUCUUUCAAAUGGGAUUUUCGUUUCGAUAUAAUUGCUAGAAUUCUGAUCUAAAUGCAUCGAAGCGAACGAAGAAUUUCAAUUCCUACUACGUGUAAAGUAGCGAGGCCGAAUGCGGGCUAUGCAAAUGAACCCAACCUUUCGGGCUUAUGUACGGUGUGUACGAGCCAUAAGGACCGGAUCGAUAAGUCGCCACCUCAACGUAAAAGCACUCGAACGAUCGGGUCGCGAUGCCGUAAGUGGCGGGAAUCAUCUGCCGUGCCACGGCACCGUUCCAUAAACCGAAGGAUCUACGAGACACGCUAACCUUCCAUUCCGUUCCUGCAGGCAAACACCUAAAAAAUAUACCUAUCUAUCUUUAUCAAAUUCCUAUUUUUUUUUUCUCUCUCCUUUUCCACGCCAAGAACCACAGAUAAAAAACAGAUAAAGACGAUUCUAUUACGAUACUUGGAUCAUAAUCUCGACACGAUAGAUAAGCAAUUUACAAGAGAAAAAGCAAAUUCGAUAAAUCUGCGCGUUGUUUGACAGUAAAAGAAUACGGAAAUACCAAUUCUGGAUGUAGAGAAUUCCUCGAGUUUAAGUAACUUCAUUCACGUUUAGUAACUUUGUUCAAACAUUAAUUUAGGUCUCUCCUGACUAAAUAACUCGCGUCUGCGAUUUUUUAGACGUUUCAUUUUUCUAGCAAACCAACUAUAACGAACUCGGUUCAGACAAAUCGGUGUUCUACCAUACUUGCUUGAAAGUUUUUAGUUUCGAUAGCGAAAACCAGGGAGAUAUAAUAGGUUGGAAGGCAGUUCAAAUACAGUCGACUUCGAGUUGGAAGAUCCCCGAUCAUCCGUCAUUGGAGGGACUGUUAUCGUGGAUCUCGGGUAACCAGAAUCCGGCAGUGACGAUCGUAUCGGUCCAGGUUCUUUCAGAGACAUUGAUUUUCCAUAAAUACAAAUGCCAUGCUAAUUAGCUGCCAGUUGCACUUGACGAGCUUGAUCCUCGAUCAGAUGAAUUUUUAAAUAAAUUCUAGUUUCAAGAUUCUGUAUUUGUGGCGUGAGCCUCCGUACGAGCCGACAAUGAUGGGCUCCUCUUGGAUAUUUUAUCUCGAGUUAUCGACUAUUUGAAUCUCGAUUUCGAACCGAUUCAAAGUCCCGCAAUGUCAUGAUAAUUCGAAUCGCUCCAAACACGAUUUCAUAUUUAAAACUCUCGAAAGUCGUAAUAAACGCGUUGAAUCGUAAGCGUCGAUAGAUUUUGAUUUUUUUUCAAGUUUCGAUAAAUCUUGAAAACCUUUGAUGAUUCAAAGUUACGAAAGCUUGCUGAUAUUCAACGUUCUAUAUUUUUUUAAUUGUCCUUUGAGAAUAAAAUAAUUCCUGUAAUAAUAUCACGUUACGAGAAACGGAAAGGAAGGACCAAAUAUCGUUCUCGCUUUCUUUGUUUCUCUCAGAAAAGA